CGUAGGGUGCGAGCGUUAAUCGGAAUUACUGGGCGUAAAGCGUGCGCAGGCGGUUUUGUAAGACAGAUGUGAAAUCCCCGGGCUCAACCUGGGACCUGCAUUUGUGACUGCAAGGCUAGAGUACGGUAGAGGGGGAUGGAAUUCCGCGUGUAGCAGUGAAAUGCGUAGAUAUGCGGAGGAACACCGAUGGCGAAGGCAAUCCCCUGGACCUGUACUGACGCUCAUGCACGAAAGCGUGGGGAGCAAACAGGAUUAGAUACCCUGGUAGUCCACGCCCUAAACGAUGUCAACUGGUUGUUGGGUCUUUACUGACUCAGUAACGAAGCUAACGCGUGAAGUUGACCGCCCGGGGAGUACGGCCGCAAGGUUG
Molecule: ribosomal RNA, 370 nt
Filed under: uncultured organism
Description: bacterial SSU rRNA
Rfam family: Bacterial small subunit ribosomal RNA
Source: RNAcentral